Solea senegalensis (Senegalese sole) is the source of this 755-nucleotide non-coding RNA. The record is from the annotation of a RefSeq genome assembly. Lineage: Eukaryota; Metazoa; Chordata; Actinopteri; Pleuronectiformes; Soleidae.
CUAAUUGAAACGGAAUAAUCUGUUUGUGGACAAAACAAGACAUUAGAGAAGGUCGUCAUGUUGAGCUUUGGGGAACACCAAACAAACAACUGAUUCAUCAAAAAGAAAAUGGAUUGAUGUGAAAUCUUUGUUAGCUGCAGGAUUAUGUGUUGUCCAGUAGGGGGAUCCUGAAUACCACAACUGUCUCAAUUGCUCACACACACCACACAUUAUAAGACACAUGCACAUACCAGUCUGUUCACUCUGUAACCACACUGACAGUUAUGACUCUGAACAUGGACUUUAUCAAACGUGGUGUUAGCAGCUUGUUCCUGUUUCUGCUCUGGGUAAAAGGUCUGGCUGAUGGCAGUGAUGUCACACAGACUGCCAUAGUGUGGGAGAAAAAGGGAGACAACGCAACAAUGCACUGCAACCACACCAAAGGUGGAACAUAUUUCCAGAUGUACUGGUACAGACAGCUGCCGGGAGAAGACAUGAAACAAGUCGCGUUUACAAGAGCAGACAUAGAUCCCGAUUUUGGAAAUUUCAGUGUGAAAAAGUUCGCAGCCACCAAACCCGACGCUCACAGUGGAACAUUCACGGUGAAGAAUGUGGAGCCCGGUGACAAAGGCUGGUAUUUCUGUGCCGUGAGUCAGCCACACAGUGACACCGUCAACUGACGAGGCUGAUCAAAAACCUCUGUGCUGGGUGUUUCUCUUCAUGUUCUUCUAUUAAUGACAUGGAAAUGCUUUUACUGAACCUGCAUUAUGACGCAA